UACAGAGGGGGCAAGCGUUGUUCGGAAUUACUGGGCGUAAAGGGCGCGUAGGCGGCCUGUUAAGUCGAACGUGAAAUCCCCGGGCUCAACCCGGGAACUGCGUCCGAUACUGGCAGGCUUGAAUUCGGGAGAGGGAUGUGGAAUUCCAGGUGUAGCGGUGAAAUGCGUAGAUAUCUGGAGGAACACCGGUGGCGAAGGCGGCAUCCUGGACCGAUAUUGACGCUGAUGCACGAAAGCGUGGGGAGCAAACAGG
RNAcentral lists this ribosomal RNA (253 nucleotides) under uncultured bacterium. RNAcentral's name for it is "partial 16S ribosomal RNA". It matches the Rfam family "Bacterial small subunit ribosomal RNA", at positions 524 to 776 of the family's 1533-position model. The record is from RNAcentral.